AUACGUAGGGGGCAAGCGUUAUCCGGAUUUACUGGGUGUAAAGGGAGCGUAGACGGUUGCGCAAGUCUGAUGUGAAAACCCAAGGCUCAACUUUGGGAUUGCAUUGGAAACUGUGCAACUUGAGUACUGGAGGGGCAGGCGGAAUUCCUGGGGUAGCGGUGAAAUGCGUAGAUAUCAGGAGGAACACCGGCGGCGAAGGCGGCCUGCUGGACAGCAACUGACGUUGAGGCUCGAAGGCGUGGGGAGCAAACAGGAUUAGAUACCCUGGUAGUCCACGCGGUAAACGAUGAUCACUAGGUGUCGGCGGCCAUAGGCGGUCGGUGCCGCAGCAAACGCAAUAAGUGAUCCACCUGGGGAGUACGGCCGCAAGGUUGAAACUCAAAUGAAUUGGCGGGG
Molecule: ribosomal RNA, 396 nt
Filed under: uncultured bacterium
Lineage: Bacteria
Description: partial 16S ribosomal RNA
Rfam family: Bacterial small subunit ribosomal RNA
Source: RNAcentral